ACGAACGCUGGCGGCGUGCCUCAUACCUGCAAGUAGAACGCACAGUUUAUACCGUAGCUUGCUACACCAUAGACUGUGAGUUGCGAACGGGUGAGUAACGCGUAGGUAACCUGCCUGGUAGCGGGGGAUAACUAUUGGAAACGAUAGCUAAUACCGCAUAAUAUUAAUUAUUGCAUGAUAAUUGAUUGAAAGAUGCAACUGCAUCACUACCAGAUGGACCUGCGUUGUAUUAGCUAGUAGGUGAGGUAACGGCUCACCUAGGCGACGAUACAUAGCCGACCUGAGAGGGUGAUCGGCCACACUGGGACUGAGACACGGCCCAGACUCCUACGGGAGGCAGCAGUAGGGAAUCUUCGGCAAUGGACGAAAGUCUGACCGAGCAACGCCGCGUGAGUGAAGAAGGUUUUCGGAUCGUAAAGCUCUGUUGUAAGAGAAGAACGGGUGUGAGAGUGGAAAGUUCACACUGUGACGGUAUCUUACCAGAAAGGGACGGCUAACUACGUG
Molecule: ribosomal RNA, 504 nt
Filed under: uncultured bacterium
Lineage: Bacteria
Description: partial 16S ribosomal RNA
Rfam family: Bacterial small subunit ribosomal RNA
Source: RNAcentral